AAUUCUCAACCUUGUUCGCUUUUACUAGCUUGAGCAAGGCUUGGAUGUGAGGGCUUGCUGGCUUCCUUCAGUGGAUGGUCUGCUCCCUUUAAAUGUAUUAGUGGGAUCUCUUGUGGACCGUCACUUGGUGUGAUAAUUAUCUAUGCCAUUUGACUUUGAAGCAAACUUUAUGGGAAUCCGCUUAUAACCGUCUCGCAAGGGACAACUCUUGACA
RNAcentral lists this unclassified non-coding RNA (214 nucleotides) under uncultured Mycena. Its description in RNAcentral is "sequence contains ITS2". The record is from RNAcentral. Lineage: Eukaryota; Fungi; Basidiomycota; Agaricomycetes; Agaricales; Tricholomataceae.